This is a long non-coding RNA of Xiphophorus couchianus (Monterrey platyfish), 497 nucleotides long. RefSeq lists it as uncharacterized. The record is from RefSeq and is a predicted model, not a curated record. Lineage: Eukaryota; Metazoa; Chordata; Actinopteri; Cyprinodontiformes; Poeciliidae. The transcript has 2 exons.
UUCACUGGUAGACGUUUUUCUUAGGAAGAAGCCUUCUAUGAUCGCUCCCUGUGUUCUGAUCGCUCCUUGUGUUCUCCCCGUCAGAUUUCCUUGUGAUCGCCCUGUGACUCCUGGAUGUGGACAAGCGCUCCCCCCUGGAUUUCCUUGUGUUCCUCACGACGCCAUUGGUAUUACCAAUCGGUUGCCUUCCUCCGUGCACUUACCUCCCUGGUCCCUCCCCGUGGAUCCUCUGUGCCUCGCCACCGACUGAGCCUGCCAGCGUUUCAUGUUCCGGGAGCUAACUGUCGAAACUCCGCUCGGAGGUCAGCUCACUCUGCUCUCCAGCUGCAAGGCUUACCUGCUCGCUCUCCGACGGUAACUCACUUCUCCAGCCGCCACCUUCGACAAUACUAACCUCCGCAUUCAAUCUGACGACCAGUUUCCUCCAGUCCCAGGUUCCAGAACUAUUUCCCCUGACCCCUCUUCCUUUCACCAAAAUAAAUAUUAUUGUUGUUUCA